Molecule: ribosomal RNA, 471 nt
Filed under: uncultured organism
Description: partial 16S ribosomal RNA
Rfam family: Bacterial small subunit ribosomal RNA
Source: RNAcentral
ACACUCUGCGGGAGGCAGCAGUGGGGAAUAUUGCACAAUGGGCGCAAGCCUGAUGCAGCCAUGCCGCGUGUAUGAAGAAGGCCUUCGGGUUGUAAAGUACUUUCAGCGGGGAGGAAGGCAAUACGGUUAAUAACCGUGUUGAUUGACGUUACCCGCAGAAGAAGCACCGGCUAACUCCGUGCCAGCAGCCGCGGUAAUACGGAGGGUGCAAGCGUUAAUCGGAAUUACUGGGCGUAAAGCGCACGCAGGCGGUCUGUCAAGUCGGAUGUGAAAUCCCCGGGCUCAACCUGGGAACUGCGUUCGAAACUGGCAGGCUUGAGUCUUGUAGAGGGGGGUAGAAUUCCAGGUGUAGCGGUGAAAUGCGUAGAGAUCUGGAGGAAUACCGGUGGCGAAGGCGGCCCCCUGGACAAAGACUGACGCUCAGGUGCGAAAGCGUGGGGAGCAAACAGGAUUAGAUACCCGAGUAGUCCC